CCUACGGGUGGCAGCAGUGGGGAAUAUUGCACAAUGGGGGGAACCCUGAUGCAGCGACGCCGCGUGAGUGAAGAAGUAUUUCGGUAUGUAAAGCUCUAUCAGCAGGGAAGAAAAUGACGGUACCUGACUAAGAAGCCCCGGCUAACUACGUGCCAGCAGCCGCGGUAAUACGUAGGGGGCAAGCGUUAUCCGGAUUUACUGGGUGUAAAGGGAGCGUAGACGGCGACGCAAGUCUGAAGUGAAAUGCCAGGGCUCAACACUGGAACUGCUUUGGAAACUGUGUAGCUAGAGUGCAGGAGAGGUAAGUGGAAUUCCUAGUGUAGCGGUGAAAUGCGUAGAUAUUAGGAGGAACACCAGUGGCGAAGGCGGCUUACUGGACUGUAACUGACGUUGAGGCUCGAAGGCGUGGGGAGCAAACAGGAUUAGAUACCCGUGUAGUC
RNAcentral lists this ribosomal RNA (440 nucleotides) under uncultured bacterium. RNAcentral describes it as "partial 16S ribosomal RNA". It matches the Rfam family "Bacterial small subunit ribosomal RNA", at positions 338 to 795 of the family's 1533-position model. The record is from RNAcentral.